GGGGUGGAUAAAGAUGUGGUACAUAUACAUAAUAGAAUAUUACUCAGCCAUUAAAAGGAAAGAAAUACCAUCAUUUUUAGCAACAUGGAUGGACCUAGAAACUAUCAUGCUAAGUGCAGUCAGUCAGAUGGUGAGACACCAACAUCAAAUGCUUUCACUGACAUGUGGAAUUUGAAAAAAGGACAGACUAAAAUUUGCAUAACAGAUGCUGACUCACAGACAUUGAAAAACUUAUGGUCUUUGGAGGAGACAGUUUGGGUGGUGGGGGGAUGUGCUUGUGCUGUGGGAUGGAAAUCCAGUGAAUUCAGAUUGUUAUGAUCAUUAUACAACUACAGAUGUGAUAAAUGCAUUUGAGUAAUUACAAAAAAAAAAAAAAAAAGAGUGAACUCCUGAGCACAGUUAUUUAGGUCAAGAGUUGACAGACUGUGACUAGCGGGCAAAGCCCAUCCACAGUCUGUUUUUGUGCUUCUCAAGCUAAUAAUGCAUUUUACAUGUUCAAAGCAUUUUUAAAAAUAAUUUGCAAAGGAGGCCAUAAUUCUUGGCUUUGUUUGCUAUUGUUUUGUUUAAGAUUUUGCAGCUAUGUUUAUCAAUACUAUUGGCCAAUAGUUUUUUCUUUCUAAUGAUGCCCUUGUUGAAACUAGGGUUUUGGAAUCAAGAUUAUGUUGACCUCAUAAAACUAAAUUGGAGAGUUCCCCUUUUUUCUAUUUCCUGGAAAAUUUAUGGAAAAUAACUCUUUGCCACUUAUGUAUUUGGUAGAAUUUGCCAACGUAUUCAUUUUUUGUGUGUUUUCAUGGUGGAAAAUUAUUUAAAUAAGAUGAACUUUUUGUAAUUUAUAGGACUACUAUUAUUUCUGUUUCUUCUUGUCUCAAUUUUGAUAUUUUUCUAGGACUUCGUCAAUUUUACCUAUAUUUUCAAAUUUAUGUGCAUUAAACUAUUCACAAUGUCACCUUAUCAUUUUUGAAAUAUCUACAGGAUCUGUAGAAAAACUCUCUUUUAAAUUCCCAAUAUUGGGGAGUUCCCGUCGUGGCGCAGUGGUUAACGAAUCCAACUAGGAACCAUGAGGUUGCGGGUUCGGUCCCUGCCCUUGCUCAGUGGGUUAACGAUCCGGCGUUGCCGUGAGCUGUGGUGUAGGUUGCAGACGCGGCUCGGAUCCUGUGUUGCUGUGGCUCUGGCGUAGGCUGGUGGCUACAGCUCCAAAGACCCCUAGCCUGGGAACCUCCAUAUGCCGCGGGAGCGGCCCAAGAAAUAGCAACAACAACAACAACAACAAAAAGACAAAAAAAAAUAAAUAAAUAAAUUCCCAAUAUUGGGAGUUCCUGUUGUGGCUCAGUGGUUAACAAAUCUGACUAGGAACCAUGAGGUUGUGGGUUUGAUCCCUGGCCUUGCUCAGUGGGUUAAGUUUCUGGCGUUGCCAUGAGCUGUGGUGUAGGUCACAGAUGUUGCUUGGAUCCCUCAUUGCUGUGGCUCUGGUGCAGGCCGGUGGCUAUUGCUCCAAUUAGACCCCCAGCCUGAGAACCUCCAUAUGCCGCAGGAGCGGACCUAGAAAAGGCAAAAAGACAAAAAAAAAAAAAAAAA
RNAcentral lists this long non-coding RNA (1575 nucleotides) under Sus scrofa (pig). RNAcentral describes it as "lncRNA (ENSSSCG00015003858.1)". Lineage: Eukaryota; Metazoa; Chordata; Mammalia; Artiodactyla; Suidae. The record is from RNAcentral.